This 446-nucleotide ribosomal RNA is filed under the name uncultured bacterium. RNAcentral's name for it is "partial 16S ribosomal RNA". It matches the Rfam family "Bacterial small subunit ribosomal RNA", at positions 338 to 795 of the family's 1533-position model. The record is from RNAcentral.
CCUACGGGUGGCAGCAGUCGAGAAUCAUUCACAAUGGGGGAAACCCUGAUGGUGCGACGCCGCGUGGGGGAAUGAAGGUCUUCGGAUUGUAAACCCCUGUCAUGUGGGAGCAAAUUAAAAAGAUAGUACCACAAGAGGAAGAGACGGCUAACUAUGUGCCAGCAGCCGCGGUAAUACAGAGGUCUCAAGCGUUGUUCGGAAUCACUGGGCGUAAAGCGUGCGUAGGCUGUUUCGUAAGUCGUGUGUGAAAGGCGCGGGCUCAACCCGCGGACGGCACAUGAUACUGCGAGACUAGAGUAAGGGAGGGGGAACCGGAAUUCUCGGUGUAGCAGUGAAAUGCGUAGAUAUCGAGAGGAACACUCGUGGCGAAGGCGGGUUCCUGGACAUUAACUGACGCUGAGGCACGAAGGCCAGGGGAGCGAAAGGGAUUAGAUACCCCAGUAGUC